RNAcentral lists this ribosomal RNA (254 nucleotides) under uncultured bacterium. RNAcentral's name for it is "partial 16S ribosomal RNA". It matches the Rfam family "Bacterial small subunit ribosomal RNA", at positions 524 to 776 of the family's 1533-position model. The record is from RNAcentral.
UACGGAGGGUGCGAGCGUUGUCCGGAAUCAUUGGGCGUAAAGGGCGCGUAGGUGGCCCGGUCAGUCUUUGGUGAAAGCGCGGGGCUCAACCCUGCGUCGGCCAGGGAUACUGCCGCGGCUCGAGCACUGUAGAGGCAGGCGGAAUUCCAGGUGUAGCGGUGAAAUGCGUAGAUAUCUGGAGGAACACCGGUGGCGAAGGCGGCAUCCUGGGCCGGUAUUGACGCUGAGGAGCGAAAGCCAGGGGAGCAAACGGG